This 65-nucleotide transfer RNA is filed under the name Eocanthecona thomsoni. RNAcentral describes it as "tRNA-Pro". The record is from RNAcentral. Lineage: Eukaryota; Metazoa; Arthropoda; Insecta; Hemiptera; Pentatomidae. RNAcentral also lists the same sequence under 1 other name.
CAGUAAAUAUUUUAAAUAAAAAUUUUAAUUUUGGAGAUUAAUGAUGGGUUUGCACUCUUUACUGA